Molecule: ribosomal RNA, 1018 nt
Filed under: uncultured bacterium
Lineage: Bacteria
Description: bacterial SSU rRNA
Rfam family: Bacterial small subunit ribosomal RNA
Source: RNAcentral
AGGAAUAUUGGUCAAUGGGCGUAAGCCUGAACCAGCCAAGUAGCGUGAGGGAAGACUGCCCUAUGGGUUGUAAACCUCUUUUGUGCGGGGAUAAAGUGAGGGACGUGUCCCUUAUUGCAGGUACCGCACGAAUAAGGACCGGCUAAUUCCGUGCCAGCAGCCGCGGUAAUACGGAAGGUCCGGGCGUUAUCCGGAUUUAUUGGGUUUAAAGGGAGCGCAGGCCGUCCUUUAAGCGUGCUGUGAAAUGCCGCGGCUCAACCGUGGCACUGCAGCGCGAACUGGAGGACUUGAGUACGCACGAGGUAGGCGGAAUUCGUGGUGUAGCGGUGAAAUGCUUAGAUAUUACGAAGAACUCCGAUUGCGAAGGCAGCUUACCGGAGCGCAACUGACGCUGAGGCUCGAAAGCGCGGGUAUCGAACAGGAUUAGAUACCCUGGUAGUCCGCGCGGUAAACGAUGGAUGCCCGCCGUUGGGAUUUGGAUUUCAGCGGCCAAGCGAAAGCGUUAAGCAUCCCACCUGGGGAGUACGCCGGCAACGGUGAAACUCAAAGGAAUUGACGGGGGCCCGCACAAGCGGAGGAACAUGUGGUUUAAUUUGAUGAUACGCGAGGAACCUUACCCGGGCUUGAAUUGCAGGAGAACGAUCCAGAGAUGGUGAGGCCCUUCGGGGCUCCUGUGAAGGUGCUGCAUGGUUGUCGUCAGCUCGUGCCGUGAGGUGUCGGCUCAAGUGCCAUAACGAGCGCAACCCCUGUCCAUAGUUGCCAUCAGGUCGUGCUGGGCACUCUGUGGAGACUGCCGCCGUAAGGUGUGAGGAAGGUGGGGAUGACGUCAAAUCAGCACGGCCCUUACGUCCGGGGCUACACACGUGUUACAAUGGGGCAUACAGCGAGUUGGAUGUGCGCAAGUACGUCCGGAUCAAUAAAGUGCCUCUCAGUUCGGACUGGGGUCUGCAACCCGACCCCACGAAGCUGGAUUCGCUAGUAAUCGCGCAUCAGCCAUGGCGCGGUGAAUACGUUCCCG